This 253-nucleotide ribosomal RNA is filed under the name uncultured bacterium. Its description in RNAcentral is "partial 16S ribosomal RNA". It matches the Rfam family "Bacterial small subunit ribosomal RNA", at positions 524 to 776 of the family's 1533-position model. The record is from RNAcentral.
UACGGAGGGAGCUAGCGUUGUUCGGAAUUACUGGGUGUAAAGCGCGUGUAGGCGGCAGGCCAAGUCGGUGGUGAAAGCGCCCGGCUCAACUGGGCGAGGUCCAUGGAAACUGGUCAGCUGGAGGACGGUAGAGGCGAGUGGAAUUCCCGGUGUAGUGGUGAAAUGCGUAGAGAUCGGGAGGAACACCUGUGGCGAAGGCGGCUCGCUGGGCCGGUCCUGACGCUGAAACGCGAAGGCGUGGGGAGCGAACGGG